This is a long non-coding RNA of Myotis brandtii (Brandt's bat), 654 nucleotides long. RefSeq lists it as uncharacterized. The transcript is spliced from 3 exons. The record is from RefSeq and is a predicted model, not a curated record. NCBI's taxonomy places the organism in Eukaryota, Metazoa, Chordata, Mammalia, Chiroptera, Vespertilionidae.
UGACCAUGUGCCAACAAGGGGCGGGGCCGUGGGUUGGCAGAGCUUGCAGGGAGUGAAGUCCUUGACCUUAGGAAGGCGGGAUGGCCGUGGGCAGGCGACCCUUCCCACAGCCGCCUCCCGGGCCCGUCUGGCCUGGGCCAUCUGGGGCAGCACAGGGGCUCCUUGGAAUGGAGGCCGAGCACAGGGCGCUUGUGAUGGCAUCCAGGACCCACCUGGGUAAUCCAGGGUAAUCUCAUCUUGAAAUCCUUAACUACAGCUGCAAAUCAGAACCCUCGGCCGAGGAAACCACGGGAAUCUCAUUUGAAGAAGAAUCUGGCCCCUUGGAGCCCCCUCCCCAUUAGCUGGUGGGAGGGUGCCCAGAUUUCAGUCGCAGCCACCGCACCAGCAAACCCCAAACCACAGGAAUGCGCGGGGUCACCUGGGGACAGAGGGAGGGUGGCUGGACAGUGAGUGAGCCCAUGGGCCUGCACCACGUGGGGGUCUGCUGUUCGGCCACACGAGCACUGGACUCGGAGCCCCCAGACCUCAGUGUGACUCUGGACUCUGCCACUCUGGCCUGGGAUCUUGGUGGUCACAUGUGUGGCUAACCACGCUCACCUGGCCACUCCGGCCCUCAGCCAGACUCAGGCCGGGAGCUGAGCUUGGCAGUGAGAG